This 1359-nucleotide long non-coding RNA is filed under the name Apteryx haastii (Great spotted kiwi). RNAcentral describes it as "lncRNA (ENSAHAG00000010855.1)". The record is from RNAcentral. Lineage: Eukaryota; Metazoa; Chordata; Aves; Apterygiformes; Apterygidae.
AUGCGCGGCACGGCACGGCGCGGCACAGUGCGGCAUGGCUCCCGGCUCCCGGCUCCCGGCUCGGCAGAGGGCUGCGGCUCGCAGCAGCGAGGGCGGCAAGCGGGGCGGGGGGGCACCUGCCCCACGUUUUGCCCUUUCUCCUUCCUUUGCCGGUGGGAGCACCGGUACCUGCUCCCUUGGUUGAUCCGUGCCCUGGGGACCCCAAACCCCGGGUACCCCAAACUCGGGGUACCCCACACCCCACUAUCUCCACACCUUGUGUACCCCAUAACCCCAGUACCCCAUACCCUGGGUACCCCAAACCCCAGGUACCCCACACCCCAGGUACCCCACACCCUGAUUACCCCAUACCCUGGCUAUUCUGUACCCCACCAUCUCCACAUCCUGGGUACCCCAUAUCCCGGGUACCCCAUAUCCCAAGUACCCCAUACUCCGGAUAGCCCAAAGCCCAAGUACCCUUAUAACCUGGAGUACCCCACACCCUGGGUACCCCAUACCCUGGGUACCCCGUACCCCACUAUCUCCACACCCUGGGUACCCUAUAACCCCGGUACCCCACACCCCAGGUACCCCAAACCCCAGGUACCCCAUACCCUGGCUAUCCCAUACCCCACUAUCUCCAUAUCCUGGGUACCCUAUACCCCAAGUACCCCAUACUCCAGGUACACCCAUAGCCCAAGUACCCUAUACCCUGGGUACCCCAUAUCCUGGGUACCCCAUAACCUAGGUACCCUGUAUCCUAGGUACCCCAUAUCCCCUAUCUCAGGUACCCCACACCCUGGGUAUCCCAUACCCUGGGUACCCCAUAUCCUGGGUACCCCAUAUCCCCUAUCUAUCUCAGGUACCCCACACCCCGGGUACCCCACACCCCAGGUACCCCACAGUCCGGAUACCCCGGUUGCCCCAUACCCCAAUACUCCGUACCUUGGGUACCACAUACUCUGCUUACCUCAUCUCCUGGGCACCCUGUACCCUGGUGCCCCACGUGCCACUUGCCCUGGGGGAUGCUCUGCCCUCUCCCCCCAGCACUGGCCCCACUCACAGGGCUGCAGGCACCCGGGGCCGCCCACGGCCCGCAGCCCCCCGGCUCGUGGGACCCCGCUGCCCUGCUCCCCGCGGCCAAGGGCCAGGGCAGGCUGCUUCCUCGGUCAGGACAUGCAGCCCCUGCUGCAGAGCUGCCCCAAAUCACAUGAUUUCCUGGAAAGGUCCUUUAUCCGAGAAACAAAACAACCCAGUUUUGCAGAAGAGCUCGAAGCCCCUCCCCGGCCUCCUGUGCAGGAGGUUUUUGCCCRGGCAAGUCCAUGGGUUCCCCAGAAGGGAUGCGAGCCUGGAAGCGCAUCGCCCUCGCCGGCGGGGUGA